RNAcentral lists this long non-coding RNA (220 nucleotides) under Homo sapiens (human). Its description in RNAcentral is "non-protein coding RB1-DT:22". The record is from RNAcentral. Lineage: Eukaryota; Metazoa; Chordata; Mammalia; Primates; Hominidae.
GGGGCGCUGGUCGGUGCGCGGGCUGGGACGCUAAGUCAUGAGGAAUUAAACUGGGAAACCUGGCGUGGGUCCAGGCGCCUUCCAGGAGGCAUCCGGCGCGGCCCGGACGUGCUUCUACCCAGAACCACCCCCUCCAGGCCGGGGUGCACUUAACGGGGCUAUACAAAGAGUCUGACACUGUUAUUGCCCAUCUGAACUCGUCAACUGAGAAGGAAAGAGA